GGGGUUGUGGCUCAGUGGUAGAGUGCUUGCCUAGCAUGCAGGAAGCACUGAGUUCAAUCCUCAGCACCACA
RNAcentral lists this transfer RNA (71 nucleotides) under Marmota monax (woodchuck). Its description in RNAcentral is "tRNA.Ala". It matches the Rfam family "tRNA". Rfam says of the family: Transfer RNA (tRNA) molecules are approximately 80 nucleotides in length. Their secondary structure includes four short double-helical elements and three loops (D, anti-codon, and T loops). Lineage: Eukaryota; Metazoa; Chordata; Mammalia; Rodentia; Sciuridae. The record is from RNAcentral.